AGGAAAUAGAUACCCUGGUAGUCCACGCCCUAAACGAUGUCGACUAGGUGUUCGGUGAGGAGACUCAUUGAGUACCGCAGCUAACGCGUGAAGUCGACCGCCUGGGGAGUACGGUCGCAAGAUUAAAACUCAAAGGAAUUGACGGGGACCCGCACAAGCGGUGGAUGAUGUGGAUUAAUUCGAUGCAACGCGAAAACCUUACCUACCCUUGACAUGUACGGAACCCUGCUGAGAGGUGGGGGUGCUCGAAAGAGAGCCGUAACACAGGUGCUGCAUGGCUGUCGUCAGCUCGUGUCGUGAGAUGUUGGGUUAAGUCCCGCAACGAGCGCAACCCUUGUCAUUAGUUGCUACGCAAGAGCACUCUAAUGGGACUGCCGGUGACAAACCGGAGGAAGGUGGGGAUGACGUCAAGUCCUCAUGGCCCUUAUGGGUAGGGCUUCACACGUCAUACAAUGGUCGGUACAGAGGGUUGCCAAGCCGCGAGGUGGAGCCAAUCCCAGAAAGCCGAUCGUAGUCCGGAUCGCAGUCUGC
RNAcentral lists this ribosomal RNA (531 nucleotides) under uncultured bacterium. RNAcentral describes it as "bacterial SSU rRNA". It matches the Rfam family "Bacterial small subunit ribosomal RNA", at positions 774 to 1308 of the family's 1533-position model. The record is from RNAcentral.